RNAcentral lists this ribosomal RNA (253 nucleotides) under uncultured bacterium. Its description in RNAcentral is "partial 16S ribosomal RNA". It matches the Rfam family "Bacterial small subunit ribosomal RNA", at positions 524 to 776 of the family's 1533-position model. The record is from RNAcentral.
UACGAAGGGGGCGAGCGUUGUUCGGAAUUACUGGGCGUAAAGGGCGCGUAGGCGGCGCCGGAAGUCAGGCGUGAAAGCCCCGGGCUCAACCUGGGAGGUGCGCUUGGGACUCUGGUGCUGGAGUUCGGGAGAGGAGAGUGGAAUUCCCAGUGUAGAGGUGAAAUUCGUAGAUAUUGGGAAGAACACCGGUGGCGAAGGCGGCGCUCUGGACCGAGACUGACGCUGAGGCGCGAAAGCGUGGGGAGCAAACAGG